RNAcentral lists this ribosomal RNA (254 nucleotides) under uncultured bacterium. RNAcentral's name for it is "partial 16S ribosomal RNA". It matches the Rfam family "Bacterial small subunit ribosomal RNA", at positions 524 to 776 of the family's 1533-position model. The record is from RNAcentral.
CACGUAGGGGGCAAGCGUUGUCCGGAAUUAUUGGGCGUAAAGAGCUCGUAGGCGGCUCGGUAAGUCAGGUGUCAAAUCCUCAGGCUCAACCUGGGGCUCCACCUGAUACUGCUGUGGCUAGAGUCCGGUAGGGGGAGCGUGGAAUUCCUGGUGUAGCGGUGAAAUGCGCAGAUAUCAGGAGGAACACCAGCGGCGAAGGCGGCGCUCUGGGCCGGAACUGACGCUGAGGAGCGAAAGCGUGGGUAGCAAACAGG